GGAUUUCUUCGGAUUGAAGCCUUGGUGACUGAGCGGCGGACGGGUGAGUAACGCGUGAGUAACCUGCCUCAUACAGGGGGAUAACAGUUGGAAACGGCUGCUAAUACCGCAUAAGCGCACAGUACCGCAUGGUACGGUGUGAAAAACUCCGGUGGUAUGAGAUGGACCCGCGUCUGAUUAGGUAGCUGGUGGGGUAACGGCCUACCAAGCCGACGAUCAGUAGCCGACCUGAGAGGGUGACCGGCCACAUUGGGACUGAGACACGGCCCAAACUCCUACGGGAGGCAGCAGUGGGGAAUAUUGCACAAUGGGGGAAACCCUGAUGCAGCGACGCCGCGUGAGCGAUGAAGUAUUUCGGUAUGUAAAGCUCUAUCAGCAGGGAAGAAAAUGACGGUACCUGACUAAGAAGCCCCGGCUAACUACGUGCCAGCAGCCGCGGUAAUACGUAGGGGGCAAGCGUUAUCCGGAUUUACUGGGUGUAAAGGGAGCGUAGACGGCAUGGCAAGCCAGAUGUGAAAGCCCGGGGCUCAACCCCGGGACUGCAUUUGGAACUGUCAGGCUAGAGUGUCGGAGAGGAAAGCGGAAUUCCUAGUGUAGCGGUGAAAUGCGUAGAUAUUAGGAGGAACGCCAGUGGCGAAGGCGGCUUUCUGGACUAU
Molecule: ribosomal RNA, 656 nt
Filed under: uncultured Lachnospiraceae bacterium
Lineage: Bacteria; Bacillati; Bacillota; Clostridia; Lachnospirales; Lachnospiraceae
Description: bacterial SSU rRNA
Rfam family: Bacterial small subunit ribosomal RNA
Source: RNAcentral